ACCUCGUGAUCCGCCCGCCUCGGCCUGCCAAAGUGCUGGGAUUACAGGCGUGAGCCACCGCGCCCGGCCGGGCAUCCUCUUUAAAGGUAAAACUUCAGGCGAAAUGUGUGACUCAGCACUGUCUUUGAGCAUGUAGUGUGUGCUCAGCCUGGGACCCCUCACCCCCACCAGCAGUCAUGCCAGCGGGGGACUUAACAGAAGAGGGGACUGGCCUUCCCUGGGGUUGAGCGCCCUGACCGAGGUCACACAGCUGGUGAGCAGGGAGACCGGGAUCCUGCCACCUCCGCUAGGUGCAAACCCUGUGCUGAGCCCUAAGAGCUACCACGGGAGGCCACCAUCCGCUGAGCUCCUGCUGCACUGCGGCCCGGCUCUAGCAUUUUCUAUGUCUUAACUCAGUUCCUUCUCACCCCAACCCCAUGGGGCGGUGCUGAGAUUCUCCCCGUCUUAUAGAAGGGGAAGUUAAGGCAAGGAGAGGUUAGAAGAGCCAGCAAGGGGGCCACACGGCCAGUAGGCGGCGCUGAGUGUGUUGCAGCAGGUCCCACGGAAGAAGCAAAGUUGUGGGAGCCCUACUUCCUGCGGAGCCCCUCCCCCACCUCCCUGCCAUCCACUUCCUGCUGCUGACCUAGGAUUGCUGGCAAUAAAACCGCAAGAGUGUGCAUGGAGGAGGCCCUUAACAUCCACACUGUCACUUAACUUUUACAACCUCCACAUGAUCGAUAUGACAGAUAUUUAUCCUGUUCUUCUCUCUAACAGAUGUGAGGGAGUCUUGGCCCAAAGAACUUCAGUCACUUGCCCGGGACUCACAGUGAGUUGUGGAGCCUUGAGAAGUCCAGGGUGGCCCCACGGCAAAGUGGGGGGCUCCCUGCCUUAUAAGGCACAAGGCGGAGCUCAGAGGGGGCCCAGAGUUGGCCCACACUGCUCCAGAAUCGGGGUCACACUCAGGUCUCCCAAGUCCUGGACUGUGUUCACCCUGCCCUGCUGCUCGAACUUUUCAAUAACUGCCACUUUGAGAUGGGCUGACUUGACGUACCCUCUCCUUAAAACUGUGAAAUGUUUUUUUCAAACUGAAGGAAACUCCCAGGCCCCUGCCCACUCAUGCCAACGGUGGCUCACACACAGGUGAUUCUCAAUGUCAGUCACCAUCCCUCAUUACAUCCCAGCCCUGUGAGGCAGGCAAAGUGUCAUGCCCAUUUCAUAGAUGGGGAAACUGAGGUUCAAAGAGGCCUGCUGUUUGCCCCUGGGCAUUUAGCAGUGCCUGGCAGAGCUGGGAAUCACCUGGGCUGUUGAGCGCUGUGUCUUGGGUGUAGCCCCUGAAUCGCCGUGCCAGUUUCUUUGGUUUGAGACCUUUACUGGCUCUGUAGCCUCUGACUGGCUCAGGCCUUGGACCUGGGCACCUCUCAGAUGGUUCCUCCUCAGCCCCUUCGAAGACUCCUCUCCCCUCUUCCCUGUUCCCUGGCCCAUCCUUAAAUGCUGGUGGCCCCUUCUCCUUGAGGUCUACACCCUCUGCCUUAGUUUGCUGCCCCCGCAGCACUUCUAGGGCCCUCUUGCUGAUGUGGGUUCGAGGAACUAAUAACCUUCCGAUGUCGCUGGCAGCAGGGAGGCCCCCACAGCCUGUCUAGAAAACAGUGAGGGGAAGUGUAGCACAAGGCUUCAUAUACCCCUCCCCUUUAGCCAGUAACUGUUUCCAGAAAUUCCGUUUCUAGGGAAAUAAUCUGAAAGAAACAAAGUGUUCCCUGCAUGAAGAUGUUUAUCAUAGGGUGAAGAGGAGACAACAGCCAGAUGCAACAAUAGGGAAGGGUUUUCUCCUACCUACUCCUGCGCGAGCUGGUGACCUCUGGGGCUCACUGGGUGCCGGACACUGUUCUCCAGCCUCUAUAUUAUUCGCUCCUUUAAUCCUUGUAACAACUUUUUGAAACAGGUACUAGUAACAUCCCCUUUGACAAGUGAAGAAACCGAGGCUUGGCAAGGUUAAUCAGCGUGCCCAAGGUCAGCCAGCUCCCUGAAGUCUGACUCUACCAGCCUCAACCGUUACCAGGGCGGCGAUGGUCAGCAGUCACAAUUACCAGGGGCUGCAGGAGAUCGUCAAAAUCUCGCAGAGCCUACGAUGAAGAAGACACAAGAGUUUGAGAGAGAGGAAGUCACUCGCUCCAGGUCAGCCAGCCAGCAAAUUGGGGAGGUCAGCCUUCAGAGCUCUGGCAACAGACCACUGCCAUGUCACAAAUAGCUUCCCAGCUUGCGAGAGUGUCUGGUAAGGGAUGAGUGAAUGGGGGAGACGGCAGGAAACUCAGCAGCCACAAAAGGGAGAGAUGUGCAGCCUGUUCAGGAACGAACACCAGGUGGAACAAAAGCGGGGCAGAACAAGAGCAUGUGCAUCCUCUUACCACCAUGACAUUAAGGCCAUGUCUGCACCCGGACCAAGAUGGGAAGGGAGCACAGAGCUGUGACUUCAGGGAAUAGGAAGGAUGGCAACAGACAUGGGGUUCUCUAUGACUUUCCAUUUUAUCUUCCAUUUUCACAGUAAGUUUUAAAACUCUACGUCUCCAGAUUCAGCAUGAGAAGGAGAAGUUCCUUGAAUCCUCUGGGCACUGGGGACAGCCAGUCCACCCACCCUGGGUAACAAAGGGAUGUGGUCAGUCCUCACGUGAGGAGGGACUGAGUGUCCUCCAUGGACCUGCGACGUCCCGUCUGUGAGGCCCUCGCUACUUUCUGCAAAUUUCUACAUGGAUCAGAGACAGGAGAAGCAGGCACACUGAUGGUUGUCUAGCACCACGUGCCAGUUUUUGGCAGUCGGGACCACCUCGACUUCCUGUCUCCAGGCAGGGUGGGGAGGGAAUGGUCCUUAUGCCCCAGGAGAGCCUCAAGGGCUGUGCACACCCUGCAAUGCAGGCACACCCCCUUCCACCCUCUGAAUGCUCUGCCACAAACAGCCACUGCGAGCGUAAUGAAGCCCCCAAAACAGGGAGCCCUGUGACUCACCACUGCUGCUUCAGGGACAGGGACAACUGCCAGAAUUCUUAGCUCUCUUUUACAGAUGGGGAAAUUGGGACUCAGAGAGGGAUGCGAUCUCUCCAAGCUCACACAGCCAAUCUGUGGCAGGGGAAUGAGAAAGUCUGGUCUGGUCUCCUCUCCCCAUGGCUGGGGCUCUCUCUGCAGUCCCGCCCUAUGCCCAGCCUGCACCCUCACCUGCCCCUGGCUCCUGGACUGGCAACUCAAGUCGUGACACGGACACGCUUUACCGAAUUUGCCUCCACACUUUGAGCGACUCAUUAGUAUAAAAAACACGUUCCUCACCACCCUUGCCAGAAGAUUCUUGACACAACACAGUUGGGGGGUUGGCACGCUCUCUCCGUUGUUAAGUAUUUAUAUAUAGUUAGUAUUGGAAUGGUCCCCGGACACCGAUCCAAGUCUCCCGUUUUCAGAUGGGGGGCACCAGGCUUAGGGUCAGGACCCCCCUGGAACAAUUCAGUAGCACAGCUGAGACAUAAAUCCACAGAGCCUGCCCUGAACUUUCCAGCUGCUCCUUGGCAAAUGGGCCAUGGGGAAAAAAAAUAAAUAAAGGCUGCCACUUACUAAGCAUUUGCUCUGUGCCAGGCACUUUGCAUAAAUCGGUGCUAAAUCUUAUCCUAAUUCUCUCAGGGAGGCAUUUUUAUCCCCAUUUUGCAGAUGAGCAAGCUGAGGCUCAGAGAGGGCAAGCCACCUGCCCAAGGUCACAGAGCCAGGGGCUGGAAAUGGCACACAUUUCUUCCCCCACGCCAGGGUUGGCAAAUGAUAGCCCAUAGGCAAAUUGAGCCCACCAUCUGUUUUUGUUGAAAUGGUUGAAAAAUAAUAGAAUAACAUUUCGUGACCCUGUGAAAAUGAUAUGCCGCUCAAAUUUUUGUGUUCAUAAAUAUACAGUUUUAUGAGAACACAGCCAUCUCCAUCCAUUUAUGUACGGGCUGUGGCUGCUUUCACCCUACAAGGGCAGAGUUGCAGCACUGCAACAGGGAUUGAAUGGGCUGCACAGCCUAAAAUAUUUACUAUCUGGCCCUUUGCAGGAAAAGCUUUCUAACUCCUGCCUUUUGCCGGGCUGUCUCCUGAAGGGUCUCAAAAGUAUGCAGCCCCCAUACGGUUGUGUAGGCCGUUUUCUGCACAAAAGCAUCAGGUGAAGGGGUCAAGGGCCUGCAAUCAGCCCUCCAUCUGCUUGCCAGGCUGUGCACCCUGGGGCCGGGUCCCCUGGAGGAAGGGCCUUUUCCUCACUUGUUCACCUUUCUGUGCUCCUUUUUUUUUUCUCUUUUUUCUUUUUUUUUUUGAGAUGGAGUCUUGCUCUGUCAC
Molecule: long non-coding RNA, 4311 nt
Filed under: Homo sapiens (human)
Lineage: Eukaryota; Metazoa; Chordata; Mammalia; Primates; Hominidae
Description: HSALNT0331209
Source: RNAcentral